This 494-nucleotide ribosomal RNA is filed under the name uncultured bacterium. RNAcentral's name for it is "bacterial SSU rRNA". It matches the Rfam family "Bacterial small subunit ribosomal RNA", at positions 903 to 1397 of the family's 1533-position model. The record is from RNAcentral.
AAAUGAAUUGACGGGGACCCGCACAAGCGGUGGAGCAUGUGGUUUAAUUCGAUGCAACGCGAAGAACCUUACCUGGUCUUGACAUCCAUGGGAUCCCGAAGAGAUUUGGGAGUGCCGCAAGGAACCAUGAGACAGGUGCUGCAUGGCUGUCGUCAGCUCGUGUCGUGAGAUGUUGGGUUAAGUCCCGCAACGAGCGCAACCCUUGUCCUUAGUUGCCAUCAUUAAGUUGGGAACUCUAAGGAGACCGCCGGUGACAAACCGGAGGAAGGUGGGGAUGACGUCAAGUCAUCAUGGCCUUUAUGACCAGGGCUACACACGUGCUACAAUGGCAAGUACAGAGGGACGCCAACCGGUGACGGGGAGCCAAUCCCAGAAAACUUGUCGUAGUCCGGAUUGGAGUCUGCAACUCGACUCCAUGAAGUUGGAAUCGCUAGUAAUCGCAGAUCAGCAUUGCUGCGGUGAAUACGUUCCCGGGUCUUGUACACACCGCCCGU